This 442-nucleotide ribosomal RNA is filed under the name uncultured bacterium. RNAcentral's name for it is "partial 16S ribosomal RNA". It matches the Rfam family "Bacterial small subunit ribosomal RNA", at positions 338 to 795 of the family's 1533-position model. The record is from RNAcentral.
CCUACGGGUGGCAGCAGUGGGGAAUAUUGGGCAAUGGAGGCAACUCUGACCCAGCAACGCCGCGUGAAGGAAGAAGGCCUUAGGGUUGUAAACUUAUGUUGUAAAGGAAGAAAAGAAUGACGGUACUUUACAAGAAAGCCCCGGCUAACUAUGUGCCAGCAGCCGCGGUAAUACGGAGGAUGCGAGCGUUAUCCGGAUUUAUUGGGUUUAAAGGGUGCGUAGGCGGAAUAUCAAGUCAGCGGUAAAAAUUCGGGGCUCAACCCCGUCGUGCCGUUGAAACUGAUGUUCUUGAGUGGGCGAGAAGUAUGCGGAAUGCGUGGUGUAGCGGUGAAAUGCAUAGAUAUCACGCAGAACUCCGAUUGCGAAGGCAGCAUACCGGCGCCCAACUGACGCUGAAGCACGAAAGCGUGGGUAUCGAACAGGAUUAGAUACCCCAGUAGUC